UUUCAGCUGGCGCAUGCGCAAUGCGAGGUAAGCUCAAAGCAAUCUUCUCCCCAUCCCAAUAAAAAAAGAAAAUUUUUUGUCAAAACUCUUAUAUGCGUGAAGUUGUAUUCUUUUUCUUGUGUUUAUUUUUGUAGUUGGUUUUCUUUGCUUCCAGUGCGAGUAUUUACUAUAUAUGCAACAAUUCGACUGACAAACACACAGAACUGACUCAUUUCUUGCAACUUUGCGCCAGAGGAUCAAGAUCUGCAAAAUAUCAAUUAUCAGAGCAUUCCAAUAUACUCGGAUAACAAUACGACUGAUAAUUGUAACUUGCUUUCCUGUUUUGUCUUCAACAUUUCCUGCUUUGCACGUCGCAACGGAUGAUCAAACCCUUCCUACCUGAUAACAGUUGAAUAGGCUACUCUGUUUUUAUCUCUGAGAUAUUCAAUCCUUAAAAAGAAAAAUCGCUGCUACUGAUGCACAAAAAGAUAAUCUGGUCAUGUUUCUUGGGUUGAUUACUUGCACUACACAGGAGAAUGAUAGAUAUUGUAAGAAACGUGGUAUCGAAAACGUUUGGCAGUUUUGGCAGUAAAACAAUGGCAGUUUUAAGCCAUUGGAUCAGUGCGACUUCUGGGUCAAUAUCAAUUCGAAAAAAAGAAACGACUUGUCAAAUAACAAAUGUCAAAGUUAUCGAUUUUAAAGCCUCAAAAUUUUGAACAAAUUAAUUGUACUUAGUUAUGGCUUACCUGCAAAGCUCGUCGCUGAAAAUGAUGUACGGAUUCUUGCCUUCUUUGAGCACCAGCUCCAAUGAGAACCAAACUAGGCAAAGUAACUAUAAAUAAACAAAUGCAAAGCGA
Molecule: long non-coding RNA, 836 nt
Organism: Actinia tenebrosa (Australian red waratah sea anemone)
Lineage: Eukaryota; Metazoa; Cnidaria; Anthozoa; Actiniaria; Actiniidae
Source: RefSeq, a predicted model, not a curated record